Molecule: ribosomal RNA, 1051 nt
Filed under: Zorotypus snyderi (Snyder's angel insect)
Lineage: Eukaryota; Metazoa; Arthropoda; Insecta; Zoraptera; Zorotypidae
Description: SSU rRNA
Rfam family: Eukaryotic small subunit ribosomal RNA
Source: RNAcentral
CCUGAGAAACGGCUACCACAUCCAAGGAAGGCAGCAGGCGCGCAAAUUACCCACUCCCGGCACGGGGAGGUAGUGACGAAGCAUACCGAUGCGGGACUCCCAUCCGAGGCCCCGUGAUCGGAUUGAGACGGGUACAGAGAACCCGAAAAGCAUACUGGAGGGCAAGUCUGGUGCCAGCAGCCGCGGUAAUUCCAGCUCCAGUAGCGUAUAUUAAAGUUGUUGCGGUUAAAAAGCUCGUAGUCUGAAUUGUGUCUAGCGCUGCGGGUCCACAGCAUGUCUGUGCUGACUGCGUAUGUCGCCUAGACUUCAUGGCUGGUAGCGGAGGAGGCUCGGUACGGGGUAAGGGGUUGGUUCCUUNGGGUUAAUCAUGUUCCUCCCUUCCGUAGCUCGAAUCCGCAACUUCCAGUCCCGACCUGGUGCUCUUGACCGAGUGCCUUGGAGGGCCAGCACUCUUACUUUGAACAAAUUAGAGUGCUYAAAGCAGGCCUUCCGGCCUUGUCGCUGUGUGCAUGGAAUAACAGAAUAGGACUUCGGUUCUAUUUUUUGUUGGGUUCUUAAGAACCGAGGUAAUGAUCAACAGGAGCAGUGUCGGGGGCAUCCGUAUUGCAGCAGGGUUAGAGGUGAAAUUCUUGGACCGUCGCAAGACGAACUAAAGCGAAAGCAUUUGCCAAGGAUGCUUUCAUUGAUCAAGAGCGAAAGUUGGAGGAUCGAAGGCGAUCAGAUACCGCCCUAGUUCCAACCAUAAACUAUGCCGGCCAGCUAUACGUCGGAGUCGAAAUGACCCGGUGUGGAGCCCACGGGAAACCAGAGCUUUCAGGUUCCUGGGGUAGUAUGGUUGCAAAGCUGAAACUUAAAGGAAUUGACGGAAGGGCACCACCAGGAGUGGAGCCUGCGGCUUAAUUUGACUCAACACGGGAAAACUUACCCGGCCCGGACACUGGAAGGAUUGACAGAUUAAGAGCUCUUUCUUGAUUCAGUGGGUGGUGGUGCAUGGCCGUUCAUAGUUGGUGGAGCGAUUUGUCUGGUUAAUUUCCGAUAACGAACGAGACUC